CACACGACCGUACCGCAAACCGACACUGGUGCGCGAGAUGAGUAUUCUGAGGCGCUUGAGAGAACUCAGGAGAAGGAACUCGGCAAAUUGACACCGUAACUUCGGAAGAAGGUGUGCCUUUAGUAGGUGAACCAUUUACUUGGGGAGCCCAAUGAGGCUGCAAAAAAUCGGUGGCUGCAACUGUUUAUUAAAAACACAGCACUCUGCUAAGACGAAAGUCGACGUAUAGGGUGUGACGCCUGCCCGGUGCUGGAAGAUUAAAUGAUGGGGUGCAAGCUCUUGAUUGAAGUCCCAGUAAACGGCGGCCGUAACGAUAACGGUCCUAAGGUAGUGAAAUUCCUUGUCGGGUAAGUUCCGACCUGCACGAAUGGCGUAAUGAUGGCCACACUGUCUCCUCCUGAGACUCAGCGAAGUUGAAAUGUUUGUGAUGAUGCAAUCUCCCCGCGGAAAGACGGAAAGACCCCAUGAACCUUUACUGUAGCUUUGUAUUGGACUUUGAACAGAUCUGUGUAGGAUAGGUGGGAGGCUUUGAAGUGUGGUCGCUAGAUCGCAUGGAGCCAACGUUGAAAUACCACCCUGGUGUGUUUGAGGUUCUAACCUAGGUCCAUUAUCUGGAUCGGGGACAGUGCAUGGUAGGCAGUUUGACUGGGGCGGUCUCCUCCCAAAGUGUAACGGAGGAGUUCGAAGGUACGCUAGGUACGGUCGGACAUCGUGCUAAUAGUGCAAUGGCAUAAGCGUGCUUAACUGCGAGACUGACAAGUCGAGCAGAUGCGAAAGCAGGACAUAGUGAUCCGGUGGUUCUGUAUGGAAGGGCCAUCGCUCAACGGAUAAAAGGUACUCUGGGGAUAACAGGCUGAUACCGCCCAAGAGUUCAUAUCGACGGUGGUGUUUGGCACCUCGAUGUCGGCUCAUCUCAUCCUGGGGCUGUAGCCGGUCCAAGGGUAUGGCUGUUCGCCAUUUAAAGAGGUACGUGAGCUGGGUUUAAAACGUCGUGAGACAGUUUGGUCCCUAUCUUCCGUGGGCGCUGCAGAUUUGAGGAAGCCUGCUCCUAGUACGAGAGGACCGGAGUGGACGAACCUCUGGUGUAUCGGUUGUCACGCCAGUGGCAUUGCCGAGUAGCUAAGUUCGGAAGAGAUAACCGCUGAAAGCAUCUAAGCGGGAAACUCGUUUCAAGAUUAGAUCUGCCGGGGCCUUGAGCCCCCUAAAGAGUCGUUCAAGACCAGGACGUUGAUAGGUCAGGUGUGGAAGCAAA
RNAcentral lists this ribosomal RNA (1252 nucleotides) under metagenome. RNAcentral describes it as "bacterial LSU rRNA". It matches the Rfam family "Bacterial large subunit ribosomal RNA", at positions 1635 to 2877 of the family's 2925-position model. The record is from RNAcentral.